Molecule: ribosomal RNA, 457 nt
Filed under: uncultured bacterium
Lineage: Bacteria
Description: bacterial SSU rRNA
Rfam family: Bacterial small subunit ribosomal RNA
Source: RNAcentral
CGCUGGCGGCAUGCCUAACACAUGCAAGUCGAACGGAGAAAAGGAAGCUUGCUUCUUUUCUUAGUGGCGGACGGGUGAGUAACGCGUGGGUAACCUGCCUUACACAGGGGGAUAACAGUUAGAAAUGACUGCUAAUACCGCAUAACCCGCUAGUACCGCAUGGUACAGACGGAAAAGAUUUAUCGGUGUAAGAUGGACCCGCGUCUGAUUAGCUGGUUGGUGGGGUAACGGCCUACCAAGGCAACGAUCAGUAGCCGGCCUGAGAGGGUGACCGGCCACAUUGGGACUGAGACACGGCCCAAACUCCUACGGGAGGCAGCAGUGGGGAAUAUUGCACAAUGGGGGAAACCCUGAUGCAGCGACGCCGCGUGAGUGAAGAAGUAUUUCGGUAUGUAAAGCUCUAUCAGCAGGGAAGAAAAUGACGGUACCUGACUAAGAAGCCCCGGCUAACUACGUG